CCCUAGUAACGGCGAGUGAAGCGGCAACAGCUCAAAUUUGAAAUCUGGCGCAAGCCCGAGUUGUAAUUUGUAGAGGAUGCUUCUAGGUAGCGACCGGUCUAAGUUCCUUGGAACAGGACGUCAUAGAGGGUGAGAAUCCCGUAUGUGACCGGCCCGCACCUUCUACGUAGCUCCUUCGACGAGUCGAGUUGUUUGGGAAUGCAGCUCUAAAUGGGAGGUAAAUUUCUUCUAAAGCUAAAUACCGGCCAGAGACCGAUAGCGCACAAGUAGAGUGAUCGAAAGAUGAAAAGCACUUUGGAAAGAGAGUUAAAAAGCACGUGAAAUUGUUGAAAGGGAAGCGCUUACAACCAGACUUCUGGGCGGUGUUCCGCCGGUCUUUUGACCGGUCUACUCGCCGUCCCGAGGCCAACAUCAUCUGGGACCGCUGGAUAAGACCUCAGGAAUGUAGCUCCCCUCGGGGAGUGUUAUAGCCUGUGGUGAUGCAGCGCGUCUCGGGUGAGGUCCGCGCUUCGGCAAGGAUGUUGGCGUAAUGGUUGUCAGCGGCCCGUCUUGAAACACGGACCAAGGAGUCUAACAUCUAUGCGAGUGUUCGGGUGUCAAACCCCUACGCGUAAUGAAAGUGAACGGAGGUGGGAAGGGCAACCUGCACCAUCGACCGAUCCUGAUGUCCUCGGAUGGAUUUGAGUAAGAGCAUAGCUGUUGGGACCCGAAAGAUGGUGAACUAUGCCUGAAUAGGGUGAAGCCAGAGGAAACUCUGGUGGAGGCUCGCAGCGGUUCUGA
This 780-nucleotide ribosomal RNA is filed under the name Ramularia coleosporii. RNAcentral describes it as "eukaryotic LSU rRNA". It matches the Rfam family "Eukaryotic large subunit ribosomal RNA", at positions 78 to 889 of the family's 3401-position model. Lineage: Eukaryota; Fungi; Ascomycota; Dothideomycetes; Mycosphaerellales; Mycosphaerellaceae. The record is from RNAcentral.